GAGAGGUCAUCGAAGGCAGGCCCUUCUGGGCACCGAAAUAUCCCGACUGCGCCUCUGCGAGAACCAGUACUCCUUCACUCCGUGGUCCAUGAAGACCCGUAAUGUUUUCCACAGAUACGGUAGUUACUUAAAUUACUAUCAGGGAAUCACACCCUCAAAAGUACGUGCGUCAAAGCAAAAAGUGAUUUCCAAGACUAAUGCCAAGGAGUUGAUGUCAAGAGUUGUGGAGCUGGUUAAUAGAACAUGCUUCCUUUAAGAGCAAAACAGAUGGACAAUAACAAGGGUAAGAAUUUUAGUGGAUAAGAACCAAAAAAAAGGAAAAGAAGAAAAGACCAAAUGAGAAGCUGAAACUGUCUCUCUCAGCCAAAUAAUAAAUAAAAAGCAAUAUCUUAAUCUGGGGUAAUAGUGGUGCUGGUGAUGGAGGAAACUGACGCCCC
Molecule: long non-coding RNA, 437 nt
Organism: Mustela erminea (ermine)
Lineage: Eukaryota; Metazoa; Chordata; Mammalia; Carnivora; Mustelidae
Exons: 3
Source: RefSeq, a predicted model, not a curated record